GUGGGGAAUAUUGGACAAUGGGCGAAAGCCUGAUCCAGCAAUGCCGCGUGAGUGAUGAAGGCCUUAGGGUUGUAAAGCUCUUUUACUGGGGAUGAUAAUGACAGUACCCAGAGAAUAAGCUCCGGCUAACUCCGUGCCAGCAGCCGCGGUAAUACGGAGGGAGCUAGCGUUGUUCGGAAUUACUGGGCGUAAAGCGCGCGUAGGCGGUUUAUCAAGUCAGAGGUGAAAUCCCGGGGCUCAACCCCGGAACUGCCUUUGAAACUAGUAAACUAGAAUCUUGGAGAGGUCAGUGGAAUUCCGAGUGUAGAGGUGAAAUUCGUAGAUAUUCGGAAGAACACCAGUGGCGAAGGCGACUGACUGGACAAGUAUUGACGCUGAGGUGCGAAAGCGUGGGGAGCAAACAGGAUUAGAAACCCGAGUAGUCC
RNAcentral lists this ribosomal RNA (425 nucleotides) under uncultured bacterium. RNAcentral describes it as "bacterial SSU rRNA". It matches the Rfam family "Bacterial small subunit ribosomal RNA", at positions 354 to 796 of the family's 1533-position model. The record is from RNAcentral.